UCUCUCUCUUCCCUCCACCGUUCAAUAUCAAAGCUCCGACCUUCCCGCCAAAACCUCUCCCCCUCUCGCCCCUCGACCGCCGCCUCAUCACCCCCACCAUCGUGGCGGCGACCUCCCUGGAGCAAUCUCCCACCCCGACCUCGUGUGCCGUGAUGGGUCCCAUCCCGACCUCCGCCCCUUCUUCUCCUCCUCAAGUCUGUUCGCUCUCGGAGGCGGGUCCAUCGCUCGCUGGCUCGGUGCCAGCUCGAGGCCCACUUCGGGGAUUCUCAACUCGCUCAUCAGUCUCUACUCGAAAUGCAAUGACUGGGCCGAGGCCGAGAGGAUAUUUAUGGACAUGGGUCAGAAAAGGGACUUGGUUUCUUGGAGUUUGAAGCGGUUGAAACUUUCCUUCAUAUGCUUGAAGAUGGCUUUUUUUACCUAACGAUUAUUGUUUCGCGGCGGUUAUUCGGGCUUGUUCAGUUCCGGAGAAUGCAUCAAUUGGUGAUGCAAUUUUCUGGUUUAUAAUCAAAAGCGGCUACGUAAAUUAUGAUGUCUGCGUUGGGUGUGCAUUUUAAUUGACACGUUUGCAAAGGGUAGUGCUGAUUUUGUUUCAGCUCAUAAGGUGUUCGAGAAAAUGCCUGAGAGGAGUGUGGCUGCAAACUGAAGAGAAUGAGGAGUAUCAAACUCUUUUCGGAAAUGAUAAAGGGUCCAGUGAGGCCAAACCAUUUCACAUUUGCUAGUGUUCUCAAGGAAUGCGGAAGUACUUGUAAUGUAGAUAUGGGGAUAUAAAUAUACACGCUAGCUAUAAAAUUGGGCUUUGCUGGUGAUAAUUGCGUGGGUAAUUCUCUUAUUAGCAUGCAUUCUCGGUAAGGCCACAUGAAAGACGCUCAGAGAGCUUUUGAUGCACUAUUUGAAAAGGAUUUGAUUUCUUAUAAUACCCUUGUGGAUACCUGUGCCAAAAAUUUGGAGUCCGAUCAAGCCUUUGAAAUAUGCAAUUGGAAUGAGUGCUUUUACAUUUGCCAGCCUUUUGUGGAGCUGCCUGUAUUGGCGCUAUUGGUAAGGGGAAGCAAAUCCAUGCGAGGAUGGUAAAAUCAGGGCUGGCCUCAAAUCAAUUGAUUUCCAAUGCUUUGACACUAUGUAUUCAAGGUGUGGGAACAUAGAAGCUGCUUUUCGAGUUUUCUGUGAGAUGAGAGAGAAAAAUAUUAUAGCUUGGACUCCAAUGAUCACUGGUUUCACAAAACAUGGAUUUGCAUCAAGAACUCUGGACGCAUUCUGUAAAAUGCUAGAGGCCGGCGUGAGGCCAAAUGAGAUCACCUAUGUUGCUGUUUUGUCCUCUUGUAGCUAUGUGGGUCAAUGUACACGGAACAUGGAAUCUUGCCUAGAAUUGGAUGCUAUGCAUGAACAGUUGUCGUAUUGGGCAGAUCAGGAUUCCUUGUUAAUGCUCUUCAGUUUAUAAAUUCAAUGCUUUUCAGGGCUGAUGCACUGGUCUGGUGUACAUUUCUUAGAGCUUGCCGAGUUCACGGCAUUAUUAGACUUGCAAAACAAGCUGUGACAAUGAUUUUUUAGCAGGAAUCGGCUGACCCUGCUUCUUAUGUUUUGCUAUCAAGUAUGUGUGCCUUGGCUGGUCUAUGGAAGAUGCAGCAGCAAUCAGAAACAAGAUGAAACUGAAAUGUCUUACAAGCUGGUGGUGGCUGGAUUCAAAUGACAAAUAUAGUUCACAAGUUCUAUGUGGGAGACACUUUGGCACUGGAGAUCUAUGAUGGACAUGACCGAUUGGCUAGUAGAAUAAGGAAACUGGGUUAUGUUCUGAAUACCAAAUUUGUUCUUUAUGACGUCGGGGAGGGACAAAAGGAACAAUAUUUGCUCCAGCAUCGUGAAAAAUUGGUGUUAUUUUUGGCCUUGUGAAGUUGUAAGCACCUUCAGUCCAAAAUCUGUUAGGGUGUUUAAGAAUCUCCACAUUUGCAGUGAUUGUCAUUCUGUGAUCAAGUAUAUCUUCAUGGCAACUGGAGAUCUAUAUUCAUAAGUGAUGCAUACCACUUCCAUCAUUUUGCGGACGGAACAUGCUCAUGCAAUGACUACUGGACUGUUGCAGAGUGGAUAAUUUUUGGAAAGUGGUGAUUGGGGAGAAACAAGAGUAACUUUCGUUUGCAAACAACGGUUUGAAACCAAGAGGCAUGAUCCUUGAGGGGUUCAUGCAGUGAUCAAGCAUUCGCAGUAUUGCAUCUACUAGUCAGGGAGAAAAAUGUUUUUUGUCGAAUAGGGCAUCAUCCCUGAUGUACAUCUUAGCUCCUUAUUGUUCCUCUGCAAGGCUUCUACUAUACAAUAUUGGACUUAUGAGAACAGGGAAAGCAACAGGUACUCAUUACUGUUUCCCCUCGGCAAAUGACUGCGUAUAAUCUAAAGGUGUUUGACUA
Long non-coding RNA from Eucalyptus grandis, 2393 nucleotides. RefSeq lists it as uncharacterized. The transcript is spliced from 2 exons. NCBI's taxonomy places the organism in Eukaryota, Viridiplantae, Streptophyta, Magnoliopsida, Myrtales, Myrtaceae. The record is from RefSeq and is a predicted model, not a curated record.